CCUACGGGAGGCAGCAGUAAGGAAUAUUGGUCAAUGGACGAAAGUCUGAGCCAGCCAUGCCGCGUGAAGGAUUAAGGCCCUCUGGGUUGUAAACUUCUUUUAUCUGGGACGAAAAAAGGGUAUUCUUACUCACUUGACGGUACCAGAGGAAUAAGCACCGGCUAACUCCGUGCCAGCAGCCGCGGUAAUACGGAGGGUGCAAGCGUUAUCCGGAUUUACUGGGUUUAAAGGGUGCGUAGGUGGGCUUGUAAGUCAGUGGUGAAAUCUCCGGGCUUAACCCGGAAACUGCCAUUGAUACUAUAGGUCUUGAAUUAUCUGGAGGUAAGCGGAAUAUGUCAUGUAGCGGUGAAAUGCUUAGAUAUGACAUAGAACACCAAUUGCGAAGGCAGCUUACUACGGAUAUAUUGACACUGAGGCACGAAAGCGUGGGGAUCAAACAGGAUUAGAUACCCUGGUAGUCCACGCCCUAAACCGAUGGAUACUCGACAUCAGCGAUACACUGUUGGUGUCUGNGNGAAGNAUAGUAUCCNCCUGGAGACGAGCGCAGAGUUAGUUAAAGUUAAAGGUUAAAGUUAGUACGGCGUUGAGACGUUGCCGACGGACGACGACCGAGGGGAGGUUAGG
RNAcentral lists this ribosomal RNA (624 nucleotides) under uncultured bacterium. Its description in RNAcentral is "bacterial SSU rRNA". The stretch from base 1 to 532 matches the Rfam family "Bacterial small subunit ribosomal RNA", at positions 338 to 873 of the family's 1533-position model. The record is from RNAcentral.